Molecule: unclassified non-coding RNA, 365 nt
Filed under: plant metagenome
Description: partial contains 5.8S ribosomal RNA, internal transcribed spacer 2, and large subunit ribosomal RNA
Rfam family: 5.8S ribosomal RNA (bases 1-115)
Source: RNAcentral
AGAACGCAGCGAAAUGCGAUAAGUAAUGUGAAUUGCAGAAUUCCGUGAAUCAUCGAAUCUUUGAACGCACAUUGCGCCCCCUGGCAUUCCGGGGGGCAUGCCUGUCCGAGCGUCAUUUGCACCCCUCAAGCGCGGCUUGCGUGUUGGGCCAUCGUCCCCGGGUGCUUCUCCCCCUGAUCGGGGAGGGGCGCCGAGGGGACGGGCCUGAAAGGCAGUGGCGGCGUUCGCGUCUCAGCGAUCAGCCCGAGCGUAUGGGGCUCUGUCACACGCUCGCGGUGGUUGGACCGACGUCACGUCCGGCUCUCGAGUUCUUCUCUCUCUCAGGUUGACCUCGGAUCAGGUAGGGAUACCCGCUGAACUUAAGC